RNAcentral lists this ribosomal RNA (244 nucleotides) under uncultured bacterium. Its description in RNAcentral is "partial 16S ribosomal RNA". It matches the Rfam family "Bacterial small subunit ribosomal RNA", at positions 89 to 334 of the family's 1533-position model. The record is from RNAcentral.
UGGCGACCGGCGCACGGGUGAGUAACGCGUAUGCAACCUGCCCGAUACCGGGGUAUAGCCCAUGGAAACGUGGAUUAACACCCCAUAGUACUUUUAUCCUGCAUGGGAUGUGAGUUAAAUGUUCAAGGUAUCGGAUGGGCAUGCGUCCCAUUAGUUAGUUGGCGGGGUAACAGCCCACCAAGACGAUGAUAGGUAGGGGUUCUGAGAGGAAGGUCCCCCACAUUGGAACUGAGACACGGUCCAA